GCUUGCGUGGCGUAAUUGGUAGACGCGCGAUCCUUAGGAGUUCGUGUUAAUUCGUGUGGGUUCGAGUCCCUCCGCAAGCA
This 80-nucleotide transfer RNA is filed under the name Salmonella phage vB_SenS_S124. RNAcentral describes it as "tRNA-Leu". It matches the Rfam family "tRNA". Rfam says of the family: Transfer RNA (tRNA) molecules are approximately 80 nucleotides in length. Their secondary structure includes four short double-helical elements and three loops (D, anti-codon, and T loops). Further hydrogen bonds mediate the characteristic L-shaped molecular structure. tRNAs have two regions of fundamental functional importance: the anti-codon, which is responsible for specific mRNA codon recognition, and the 3' end, to which the tRNAs corresponding amino acid is attached (by aminoacyl-tRNA synthetases). tRNAs cope with the degeneracy of the genetic code in two manners: having more than one tRNA (with a specific anti-codon) for a particular amino acid; and 'wobble' base-pairing, i.e. permitting non-standard base-pairing at the 3rd anti-codon position. The record is from RNAcentral. RNAcentral also lists the same sequence under 5 other names. Lineage: Duplodnaviria; Heunggongvirae; Uroviricota; Caudoviricetes; Demerecviridae.